UUGGGUGUUACCUUCUAGAAACCCGCUGGUGACAUCGGUCUUGUCACCCUGUGAUGUCAUUUAGCCCUACAAAUGAGGCUUUUUGACACUUGCUCUGAAGUCUGACAGGUGGUCUUGUAAGGUCAGUGAAAUGGCCUCAGUCUGGUCCCAGAAGCUCCCCCUGGGCUAGCACUUAGAGCUCAGCUGAUAAAGCUGGUACGUGUAUUUUUUUGGCCGUUUUAUUUCUAGCCAUCCCCCACACUUUGCAUUUUCAUUAGUUCUCACUGAAUUUAAAUUAUAGUUGUGCUCUGUACAGGCCAGCUGCCCUUGCUGUGGUCACUGUGCAGGGACAUCUUCUCCUUCAUACACACACCCCUCCUCUCCAGCCAGAAAGUUUUCGCAGAUAAGAGCACUUCUAAUCUUGAGGCUCCAAGAUCAAAAGAAAGAGACCUCAGAGCACAUAGAGUAUUCAUAAAAAUAAUACAGAUGGCUCUUUUUCUCCAAACUGGACUAACCGUAUGAAAACAUUUAUUUAAAAAUGAGGCUCACUCUGCUUCUAAAAUUAAUGUCCUGCUUCUGAGCAUCAUUAAUUUCCUGGUCCGUGUUCAAUUUGUAUCAUGUUGCCGGCUGCUAAUGAUGUUCUAGAGCAGCUAUCACAAAGGAGAAGGAAACCUGCCACUCAGUGCAUGGGAAAUAAAUCGCCACCUUGCCAUGAGAUUACCUGUAAUUGGGAGAGUUCUGUAAAAUCCUAAGAGCCACUUCUGGGAAUAUUCAGGGGAGCUGAAAAUGUCAGGGACCGGCUUUUGAGCUCCUGCCGUACAAUCUCUGCUCGAAAUAGCUGAAUGUUAUUCCUUUUCAUUGCAGCCUUGCACAAAUGUAUAUUGAUUAAUAAAGGAAGAGCAUGGUCUGUGCCUGGCACUUUUGAGUGAUAAACAGUUAUGCAGCAGUAAAGAGGGUAUAUUAAAGGGUAAGAGCUAAUGACUUUUCUUGUGUGUGUAACACAUUAAAACCAGCAUGAAGCUACAGCUAUUUUAUCAAGCCACUAAUGUCCCUGACAACAUUCACUUGGUGGGAGUGAAUGAAUGGAAAUCCAUUUAGAGAAGUAAAUUAAAAUACCUUAAAAAAUGUCUUUAAUAAUAGCUACAGAACUCAGCAGGGUCAGAGAAGUGAGAGAUACAAAAGACCUAUUAAGUUAUCCAGUCCAUCUCCCUGCCAAGGCAGCAGUAUUCCUUAUUAUGCAGUCACUGCUGCAUCAUUCGGUGCAGAUUUCAACGUCUCAAGUGCCAGGGGCUCUGAUGGGAGGGUAAUCUACAGGCUGGAAGAUUGGACUGUCACAAAACUCCCAUGUGCAACCUCAUUUUUCCUUCUCCACUUGUCUCCUGUGCCACGCACAGGUGUGCAAUGGGACUAAAUGGAAGAAAACCCUUUCUGGAGUGUUAACUUCUAUAUUUCCUGCCUGUGAUGGUGCUGAGCCAUCAGGCUGCUCGGUGCUGGGGAUGCCUGUAUGUCUGAGGACUAUUGCAAGACGUCUCCUCAAGCAGAUGCUUACGGUCCCAUCGCUCUGAUUUGCCGCAGAGGUGACAGCCGCCCUGGCAGGGGGAGCUUGGUGGCUUCUGAUGGAGCUGCUCCAUCUUCAUUGCCACGCUGCCCACCUCCUGGGCAUUGGCUAAGAGUUGACGUGCCGAGACUUUCUGUUUCAUGGGGAAUUUUGGAGAUUUUAAUAGUGGGGAUUGUUUAUUUGUAAGCAUAACAUGGGCAUCUUUUCCUAUGGGAUUUAUUUGAGCUCAAAAUCAGAAUAAAUGCAUCUGAUCUCCAGCAUGAUCAGCCCUAGAAGUUCACCCUGUAAGUUCUGCAUUGAGUCCAUAGCUCCUCUUUGGAAGUAGCUUACCUUGUAGAAAAGCACCUGUGCUUGAUUUAGAGCCUUGCAGAGGUGGAGAAUCCAGCACAGGCAAUUGCAAGCUGUUCAAGUGGUUAAUUACCUGCGCUGUUAAAAAGCGUGGAGCGCACUUCAGCUGCUAUCUGCUGGAUCUUGUUAUGGCUUCUUAUGCUGGCUUAAAAGACUUAAAUAAAAUAAAUAAGGAGCUUGAAAAAUAUCCUAACGUCGUAGGCAUUUGGGAGGUGAAAAAAGGGGUUUUCUCCUCUUUUUGUGCAAAGGUCUCAACAGAAGUGACAAAAAACUUUUCCUAGGGAGUUACCUGGUCACAUCUUUCUGUCUCGGUGGCAGCAAAAUUGUUUUCUGGUGGGAGAAAUGGGCUGUUGUCUCCUAUGUGAAUGUCAGCGUGCAACAGUCACUAGGGAUUGGGGAGAGCUGAACUGCAGCCCGGAUGGGAAGUCUUCAUCCUACAGGAUGCAAAAAAGCCGAUGGUGGCUGAUCCUCAGCUGUGUUGCUGUAAGAAGGGACUUGGUUUAAUACAGAAUUGGGGAAAUCUUACAAACACAGCUUCUCCUUGCUCUGAAGUGCGAUCUGGAGCAGAAGUCUGUCUCAAAUUUGGACAAAGAGCAUUAGAAAAAGUCUCAUCCAGAAAUUCCUACAGCCCCAGUGGCUCCUCCUCAGCUUUCUCCAGCUUUGGCCUCACGUACUACAGAAAUGACACAUGAAAAAGAAAAGACUGGGGGCUUUUGUUCAAGUUACAGAAUCUAUGAUUAUCACGUACCCUUUUUUUAAAAAAUUGUUGCAGAGCAUAGUUUGAAAAUACUCCUGGCAAACUCCUCUUUUGGUGCUUUAAAUAGCUGUGAUUCAUUGGGUAUUUACCGAGCUUCAGCAGGGCUGGCUGCAGCUCAUGUUAACUUGGUGUACAAUAGGGACUCAUGUGUUUAAAUCCCAUGCUCUGUGAAAUCCUAAAUAAUGAAUAUAGUGGUUAGAGGAAGAAAACAAUUCUUCUGCAUGGGCAAAGGUAACACAGUAAUAAGCAGAUUUUACGGUACAUGUUUUCUGUUUUAAAAAAAUGUACAUUUUGCUCUUCAUCAAUAUUCUAGUUCACUGGAGCAAACAUUUUCUGCAUCACACAUUUCCAGGUAAAUAAGAGAUACCUAAGACCUUGUUUGUGCACUCACGUGGCUGCUGCAGCAUCACUUCUAAUGCUAAGAGAGAAACACGGAGUAUUAUGGGCUCCUGUUAGCAUCUCUGCUAUGGAGGCACUCAGGACUUCUCCGAAUAAAGCCCGUAAAAUGAAAAAUAUCACCUGCAGAGAAACAGGCAGAGAUGUAGUGUAAAAAAAUAUCCCUCCGAGUUAGGCGCAUUUGGGAAGCAAAGUUGUAGAAGGAUGUGGUAUAACCAUAGUAACGGGCAGGAUUCUGCAGAACUGAUACUGGAAUAAUGAAUUUUGCUGAAAAAAAAAAUGCUGGAUGAGAAAAGCAGGCUAUCAGAUUUGGAGACCGUAAAAAGAGUUUUGCAUUUAAACAUGUAUUUGAAUUGAUACAUACUAAAAACCCCAGCCCUUUGUAAACCCUGCAUGUACCGCAGAAGAAAACAAAUUGCAAAGCCCCCUUAUCACUCAGUGUGAAAUAACCACUAAUCAGUAAAACGGGCAAUUUAGACUAUCAUCUUCCCUCUUUUAGCUAAAAAAAAAAAAAAAAAAAGUAGUUUGGUUCAGGGUUUGGUGUUGCUUUUUUUUCCUGUUUUAGUGAGGGUAGCUCCAUGGACGUAGGGGUGCGGGUUGGUGCCACGCAGCGGGAGCAGAGCUGGGGCAGUUUCCCCGGCCAGAUUGUCCCAGAUUUCCAAAUAACCAAGACAAUUUCCAGAUUGUCUUGGUUAUUUUUCAGAUGUUGAGUAGGUUUAAGCAGGCAUCUUACGGCAGUACUCAGGGGAAACUGGGUCCCCAGCUCCUGUGUUUCAGUUUACAAUGAUUUCCAUCUCCAAGUCUGCCCCACCAACACGUAGCAUCCCCUGGCGGGGUGAUCACCAGUCGUGGCGUUGUCCUUGCGGGAUAUUUGUUAAACUGCCAGAAUUUGGGCAAAGGGAAUGAAUGCAUUUGUGGUUUUAUCUCCAUCUCCCAUCGCCAUUCAGUGUGCUGACACUUGGUGUUUCCCAGCUCCCAAGAGCCCCUCAAGGUAUUUCUGCAUCUCGCCCGGUUCCUGGGGCUCCCUCCCCUCCUUGUCCACACCAGUGCAAAGAAGUCUGUGCUGGGAGAUUGCCACAGAGCUCCCUUACGCCCGCCCGCAGGGUGACAAAGCGUUAUUAAUUGACGGCAGAGGAACCAAAUUGCAUCUGGCAGCCUGAUGCUGCCGAGCAUCACGGGUCACAGCCCGCGGGAGGCGGCCCCGCAGGUGGGGGCACAGCACAAUAAAAUCAAAAUAGAUAACAUGAAAUGAAAUGAAAUGAAAU
Molecule: long non-coding RNA, 4303 nt
Organism: Cygnus olor (mute swan)
Lineage: Eukaryota; Metazoa; Chordata; Aves; Anseriformes; Anatidae
Exons: 2
Source: RefSeq, a predicted model, not a curated record